This 253-nucleotide ribosomal RNA is filed under the name uncultured bacterium. RNAcentral describes it as "partial 16S ribosomal RNA". It matches the Rfam family "Bacterial small subunit ribosomal RNA", at positions 524 to 776 of the family's 1533-position model. The record is from RNAcentral.
UACGAAGGGGACUAGCGUUGUUCGGAAUUACUGGGCGUAAAGCGCACGUAGGCGGAUUUGUUAGUCAGGGGUGAAAUCCCGGGGCUCAACCUCGGAACUGCCUUUGAUACUGCAAGUCUCGAGUCCGAUAGAGGUGGGUGGAAUUCCUAGUGUAGCAGUGAAAUGCGUAGAGAUGUGGAGGAACACCGAUGGCGAAGGCAGCCCCCUGGGCUGAGAUUGACGCUCAGGCACGAAAGCGUGGGGAGCAAACAGG